Molecule: ribosomal RNA, 324 nt
Filed under: uncultured eukaryote
Lineage: Eukaryota
Description: partial 18S ribosomal RNA
Rfam family: Eukaryotic small subunit ribosomal RNA
Source: RNAcentral
CCCUUAGAUGUCCUGGGCUGCACGCGCGCUACACUGAUGUGUCCAGUAAGCACCUAACCUCUUCCGAAAGGAACGGGUAACCUUUGCAAAGCACAUCGUGAUGGGGAUAGAUUAUUGCAAUUAUUAGUCUUGAACGAGGAAUUCCUAGUAAGCACAAGUCAUCAGCUUGUGUUGAUUACGUCCCUGCCCUUUGUACACACCGCCCGUCGCUCCUACCGAUUGAAUGUUCCGGUGAGCUCUUCGGACCGCGCGGUCUGCAGUUUCUGCGUUCCGUGCGGAAAGUUGCGCAAACCUUAACAUUUAGAGGAAGGAGAAGUCGUAACA